This 284-nucleotide ribosomal RNA is filed under the name Bacteroidales bacterium. RNAcentral describes it as "partial 23S ribosomal RNA". It matches the Rfam family "Bacterial large subunit ribosomal RNA", at positions 2629 to 2925 of the family's 2925-position model. Lineage: Bacteria; Pseudomonadati; Bacteroidota; Bacteroidia; Bacteroidales. The record is from RNAcentral.
GUUCGGUCCCUAUCUGUCGUGGGCGCAGGAUUUUUGAGCGGAACUGACUCUAGUACGAGAGGACCGAGUCGGACACACCGCUGGUGUACCGGUUGUGCCGCCAGGCGCAUCGCCGGGUAACUAUGUGUGGGCAGGAUAAGCGCUGAAAGCAUCUAAGCGCGAAGCCGUCCGCGAGAUGAGAGAUCCCUUGAGGGCCGUCGAAGACGACGACGUUGAUAGGCUGCAGGUGUAAAGGCGGUGACGUCAAAGCCGAGCAGUACUAAUUGCCCGAAAGAUUUCCUUCU